ACUUCGUGACACAUUUCUGCUCCUAAUUUUCCCUAGACCCUAAUUCUCUCUCUCAAUUCAUUUCUGCCUUCGUACAUUUUCCUCCAAAAAGUUCACCAUAAUCAUUUUCCUCCAAGCCCCGCACCAUCUUCUUGUUGGUCUUCCCUUGCGUUGUGUUCGUCGUCGAGACGUUGUGUUCGCUCUCGGAAUUCCUCGCAGCUGCGGUGUGAAGUAUGAGGAGACGAGAGGCGAGGCAAGGCAAGGGUGAGAAUGAUGAAUCUCUUGAGCUUUGUUCCAACACAGACAACGAGGAAGCCUUUUGGAACCAUGUCUGCACUGUUGGAAGCAGAGGAAGAUUUUCUUCACGGAUCUUGUUACACUUCAGAAAUUUUAAGAAAACCCAAUUAAUUUGUUUUGGUUCUAAGGGAUUUUCUCAUUUUGCUUUGUUUUGUUUUGUUUUUUGUUUUUCUUUAUAACACCCUGUUUUGGUUUGAACAUGACCGUAAUGUGUGACAUAGGAGUGUCUCCAUUAACGUCAGGGAGACUGUCUCACAGCAGUGAACCUUUGAGCGGUGGUGCUUCUUUAACUGGAACGGACAGUCCACCAAUCUCUCCUUCUGACAAUUUGACGAUGUUGUCAAGGUAUCUGAUCAAGGGAGUGGGUCAAACAAUGGAUGUAAUGAAGAAAAAAAUUAGAUAUUGUUACUGAAUACUUUUAUGAGUCAUACUUUUAGUAUUGAAUAUCUAUAUUGAACAUAUGUAAUGAACCUCUUUCUUUUUAAUUUUUAUGUAUGAACACUUAGUUGUAUGAAUGAUAUUAGGUUGAACAAUGUAGUUUAUUUUAUA
This is a long non-coding RNA of Vigna angularis (adzuki bean), 825 nucleotides long. RefSeq lists it as uncharacterized. The transcript has 3 exons. Lineage: Eukaryota; Viridiplantae; Streptophyta; Magnoliopsida; Fabales; Fabaceae. The record is from RefSeq and is a predicted model, not a curated record.